AGCAGCCGCGGUAAUUCCAGCUCCAAUAGCGUAUAUUAAAGUUGUUGCAGUUAAAAAGCUCGUAGUUGAAUUUCGGGAUCAAUACGUCGGUCGUGCUUCGGUACGUACUGGCGUCAUUGGUUUCUCCCUUCUGACGAACCAUGAUGUCAUUAACUUGGUGUCAUGGGAAAUCAGGACUGUUACUUUGAAAAAAUUAGAGUGUUUAAAGCAGGCUCACGCUUGAAUACAUUAGCAUGGAGUAAUGAAAUAGGACGUUCGAUCCUAUUUUGUUGGUUUCUAGGAUUGACGUAAUGAUUAAUAGGGAUAGUUGGGGGCAUUAGUAUUCAAUUGUCAGAGGUGAAAUUCUUGGAUUUAUUGAAGACUAACUACUGCGAAAGCAUUUGCCAAGGAUGUUUUCAUUAAUCAAGAACGAAAGUUAGGGGAUCGAAGACGAUCAGAUACCGUCGUAGU
This 450-nucleotide ribosomal RNA is filed under the name uncultured Glomeromycotina. RNAcentral's name for it is "SSU rRNA". It matches the Rfam family "Eukaryotic small subunit ribosomal RNA", at positions 569 to 1024 of the family's 1831-position model. The record is from RNAcentral. Lineage: Eukaryota; Fungi; Glomeromycota.